This is a long non-coding RNA of Papaver somniferum (opium poppy), 736 nucleotides long. RefSeq lists it as uncharacterized. The record is from RefSeq and is a predicted model, not a curated record. NCBI's taxonomy places the organism in Eukaryota, Viridiplantae, Streptophyta, Magnoliopsida, Ranunculales, Papaveraceae. The transcript has 3 exons.
UUCUCCCUAGCUAUCUCACAGUCAUCACUCCUCCAUUAACAACUUCUUCUUCUCGCCCACCUUCUACAUUAACAUGUUUCGCAUUCGGCAUCAAUUAUAUCUCUCUAUCUCACAACAAAGAGUUUAACUUCUUCUUCUCCCUCUCAUCUUCGAUCAAAACCCUAGAACUGAAAUUAGAGAUUACUUUCAAAAAUUGAAUCAGAGGCUUUCAAUCAAUCUAUUUUUAAUUGCAGAAUGGUGGUUCAUAGAUUAUCUUCUUCUUCAUUAGGGGGUUGGAUCCAUGUUUCUAACUAAAAUUACCCAAUUGUGACUGGGAUGAAAGAUUGCGAGCCCAUCAUGGAAGUGCAACACUGUAGAAAUUAGCCAUUUGAACUCAUUGCACCUGGCUAUACAGUUCCGCUGUGUUUGUGGUGCUUGGGAAGGCAACCGGAUUUAAAAUAGCGGCAAGAAGAAGAAGAAGCUCUUAGCUGCAGACCCUGUGAAUGAUCUUGAUAUCAUGCUAAGCAAAUGGUCGAACCGGGACGAAUUGAAAUUCAGCAUUUGACGUGCAACGCACGUGCACUCUACAUGUGAUGAGUAAUCUAGGAAAACUUGUGUGAACAUCUGUAAUACGAAGAAUGGGAUCUAUCACCAGGAAUUAGUUUGGUUUUGUUCACAGAAAAUCCCCAAAUUGGCUGAAAAUUUUGAUACAUAAAAUUUUAUAAUUCACUGAAUGGGUUUGUAAAGCAUGAUUCGC